Molecule: unclassified non-coding RNA, 376 nt
Filed under: uncultured bacterium
Lineage: Bacteria
Description: contains 16S-23S intergenic spacer region
Source: RNAcentral
UCCAGCUUGACGCUGGCAGUCUCGCUAGAGUGCCCAACUUAAUGCUGGCAACUAGCAACGAGGGUUGCGCUCGUUGCGGAACUUAAUCCAACACCUCACGGCACGAGCUGACGACAACCAUGCACCACCUGUCACCGAUGCCCGAAGGGGUCCCAUAUUUCUAUGGGAUUACACCGGGAUGUCAAACCCUGGUAAGGUUUUUCGCGUAGCAUCGAAUUAAACCACAUGCUCCACUGCUUGUGCGGGCCCCCGUCAAUUCCUUUGAGUUUUAACCUUGCGGCCGUACUCCCCAGGCGGAUCACUUAAUGCGUUAGCGGCGGCGCCGAAGGGGUCGAAGCCUCCGACACCUAGUGAUCAACGUUUAUGGCCAGGACUA